CCCUGCCAUUUGUACACACCGCCCGUCGCACCUACCGAUUGAAUGGUUCGGUGAAACCCUCGGACUUUGGCACGCAAGCUUCACGGCGAGCGUGCCGCGGGAAGUUGGUUAAACCUCAUCAUUUAGAG
RNAcentral lists this ribosomal RNA (128 nucleotides) under uncultured eukaryote. RNAcentral's name for it is "partial small subunit ribosomal RNA". It matches the Rfam family "Eukaryotic small subunit ribosomal RNA", at positions 1651 to 1778 of the family's 1831-position model. The record is from RNAcentral.